Molecule: long non-coding RNA, 642 nt
Organism: Esox lucius (northern pike)
Lineage: Eukaryota; Metazoa; Chordata; Actinopteri; Esociformes; Esocidae
Source: Ensembl
GUGACAGGCUGAAUAUGUCAGUGAGACGGUGCAUUGUUCUAGUGACAGGCUGAAUAUGUCAGUGAGACGGUGCAUUGUUCUAGUGACAGGCUGAAUAUGUCAGUGAGACGGUGCACUGCUCUAGUGACAGGUUGAAUAUGUCAGUGAGACGGUGCAUUGUUCUAGUGACAGGCUGAAUAUGUCAGUGAGACGGUGCACUGCUCUAGUGACAGGUUGAAUAUGUCAGUGAGACGGUGCAUUGUUCUAGUGACAGGUUGAAUAUGUCAGUGAGAUGGUGCAUUGUUCUAGUGACAGGCUGAAUAUGUCAGUGAGACGGUGCAUUGUUCUAGUGACAGGCUGAAUAUGUCAGUAAGACGGUGCACUGCUCUAGUGACAGGCUGAAUAUGUCUGUGAGACGAUGCAUUUUUCUAGUGACAGGCUGAAUAUGUCAGUGAGACUGUGCAUUGUUCUAGUGACAGGCUGAAUAUGUCAGUGAGACGGUGCACUGUUCUAGUGACAGGCUGAAUAUGUCAGUGAGACAAUGCACUGUUCUAGUGACAGGUUGAAUAUGUCAGUGAGAUGGUGCAUUGUUCUAGUGACAGGCUGAAUAUGUCAGUGAGAUGGUGCAUUGUUCUAGUGACAGGCUGAAUAUGUCAGUGAGAC